GACGAACGCUGGCGGCGUGCUUAACACAUGCAAGUCGAACGGUAAGGCCCUUCGGGGUACACGAGUGGCGAACGGGUGAGUAACACGUGGGUGAUCUGCCCCGCACUUCGGGAUAAGCCUGGGAAACUGGGUCUAAUACCGGAUAGGACCACUGCCUGCAUGGGUGGUGGUGGAAAGCUUUUGCGGUGUGGGAUGGGCCCGCGGCCUAUCAGCUUGUUGGUGGGGUGAUGGCCUACCAAGGCGACGACGGGUAGCCGGCCUGAGAGGGUGACCGGCCACACUGGGACUGAGAUACGGCCCAGACUCCUACGGGAGGCAGCAGUGGGGAGUACUGCACAAUGGGCGCAAGCCUGAUGCAGCGACGCCGCGUGAGGGAUGACGGCCUUCGGGUUGUAGACCUCUUUCAGCACCGACGAAGCGCAAGUGACGGUAGGUGCAGAAGAAGGACCGGCCAACUACGUGCCAGCCGCCGCCGUAA
This 478-nucleotide ribosomal RNA is filed under the name uncultured bacterium. Its description in RNAcentral is "partial 16S ribosomal RNA". It matches the Rfam family "Bacterial small subunit ribosomal RNA", at positions 28 to 523 of the family's 1533-position model. The record is from RNAcentral.